UUUCCGUAGGUGAACCUGCGGAAGGAUCAUUAAUGAGUUGGCAUGGGUUUCGAUGCUGGCAGCCAGUUUUUGGAUGCAUGUGCUUGCCGUAACAAUCAUCUUCUUCCAAACACCUGUGCACAUUUUUGAGGGUGUCUUGGGUUGGUUGCCGCUCUUGGGUGAUUUUCUCACAUUCCCUUAAAUCAUUAUACGCUAUUAACGAUGUUGAACGUGCUCUGUGCCGCAAGGCCAUUAAUAUAAUACAACUUUUAACAACGGAUCUCUUGGCUCUC
Molecule: unclassified non-coding RNA, 272 nt
Filed under: plant metagenome
Description: partial contains small subunit ribosomal RNA, internal transcribed spacer 1, and 5.8S ribosomal RNA
Source: RNAcentral